UCCGCAUUGGUCCAGUGGUUAGGAUCCCACGCUUUCACCGUGGUGGCCGGGGUUCGAUUCCCCGAUGCGGAG
Molecule: transfer RNA, 72 nt
Filed under: Batrachochytrium salamandrivorans
Lineage: Eukaryota; Fungi; Chytridiomycota; Chytridiomycetes; Rhizophydiales
Description: tRNA-Glu
Rfam family: tRNA
About the family: Transfer RNA (tRNA) molecules are approximately 80 nucleotides in length.
Source: RNAcentral